This 253-nucleotide ribosomal RNA is filed under the name uncultured bacterium. RNAcentral describes it as "partial 16S ribosomal RNA". It matches the Rfam family "Bacterial small subunit ribosomal RNA", at positions 524 to 776 of the family's 1533-position model. The record is from RNAcentral.
UACGGAGGAUCCAAGCGUUGUCCGGAAUCAUUGGGCUUAAAGGGCGCGUAGGCGGCUUGUCAAGUCGGGUGUGAAAGCCCCCGGCUUAACCGGGGAAUUGCGCCCGAAACUGACGAGCUGGAGGGGGACAGGGGUGUGUGGAACUUCCGGUGGAGUGGUGAAAUGUGUUGAUAUCGGGAGGAACGCCGGUGGCGAAAGCGACACACUGGGUCUCAACUGACGCUGAGGCACGAAAGCCAGGGGAGCGAACGGG